CAAGCUCCUCCUCUUCUAUCUGAUCGCCACGAGUCAGAGAAAGACCAAGUUUCCGAAGGUUUGUGAGAUUUUUCACUUCACUGAGCUUGCACCCAUUGUUGGACCUGGCUGGCUUAAAUCCCAACAGAACUUCGAGCUUCACGAGACUUCCGAUACCCUUGGGGAAGCAUUCAAGGGAUCCACAG
RNAcentral lists this non-coding RNA (185 nucleotides) under Arabidopsis thaliana (thale cress). Lineage: Eukaryota; Viridiplantae; Streptophyta; Magnoliopsida; Brassicales; Brassicaceae. The record is from RNAcentral.